GACGAACGCUGGCGGCGUGCUUAACACAUGCAAGUCGAACGGAAAGGCCUCUUUCGGGGGGUACUCGAGUGGCGAACGGGUGAGUAACACGUGAGUAACCUGCCCUUGACUUUGGGAUAACUUCAGGAAACUGGGGCUAAUACCGGAUAGGAGCUCCUGCUGCAUGGUGGGGGUUGGAAAGUUUCGGCGGUUGGGGAUGGACUCGCGGCUUAUCAGCUUGUUGGUGGGGUAGUGGCUUACCAAGGCUUUGACGGGUAGCCGGCCUGAGAGGGUGACCGGCCACAUUGGGACUGAGAUACGGCCCAGACUCCUACGGGAGGCAGCAGUGGGGAAUAUUGCACAAUGGGUGGAAGCCUGAUGCAGCAACGCCGUGUGCGGGAGGACGGCCUUCGGGUUGUAAACCGCUUUCGCCCAUGACGAAGCUUUGUGUGACGGUAGUGGGUAAAGAAGCACCGGCUAACUACGUG
RNAcentral lists this ribosomal RNA (467 nucleotides) under uncultured bacterium. Its description in RNAcentral is "partial 16S ribosomal RNA". It matches the Rfam family "Bacterial small subunit ribosomal RNA", at positions 28 to 507 of the family's 1533-position model. The record is from RNAcentral.